Taeniopygia guttata (zebra finch) is the source of this 958-nucleotide non-coding RNA. The record is from RefSeq and is a predicted model, not a curated record. NCBI's taxonomy places the organism in Eukaryota, Metazoa, Chordata, Aves, Passeriformes, Estrildidae.
UCAAAGCAGGGAGGUGAAUGUUCAUUCCCCAACCCAGGAACUAAACAAGUCUGACUGUUCUCUUAAGGUGCAAGUUUAAUGUAUUAAAUGCAGUAGGCAGAGACUGAGCAUGGACAGGAAACUUGUGCUUCUCAGUCCUUCUCACUCUCCUGGUACAACCUCACAGGAUUUGGGUGGUGGUCAGCCUGAUAAUCUGUUCUGAAUGAUGCAUUCUCACUCUACCUUUUCCUCUUUAUGUUGACAGACUAUUGAUUCCGUGUGCUCCUCUUAGGAAAAUAUCUGCAGCUAUUUCUAACACAUAACACAACGUGACUGAUCCAGCUUGUUUCAUGAGAUGUGACUGCUGUGUCAGAGACUUUGUCACAGCCUCUUAUGGAAGUGAUAGCAUUAAAUUGGAGCAGCACAAUGAAUUCCAGGAAGACGCUCAAUUGUCUGGGAGAAACAGAGAGGGCUGACAUCACCCCCUGGUCCCCCUGGAAUGCAGUGAUAAGUGUCAGCCUAUUUUUCUUACAGGCAAUUUCUCUGGCUAUGUGAUGUCUGGCUGCAAAUUUAAAGUAAAUGACAUUCCACAAUCUGUUAGGGAUGGGGGGGGGGGGGGGGCGAAGUCGGCAUUAUUUGUUUUAGAAUUUAAAAUAAUUUUGUGUCUGAAAAUUUCACCACUGUCUAGACAAGAUGUAUUGCUUGCCCGCUGAAAAUAUUAAAAUUUUGUAAUGUACAGCCGACAAAGCCACUUUCUUAGCAAACAUACAGAUUCAAUUUAAGAUUUUUAGACUCCUUUUUACAGCAUAUUAUAUUAUUAUUACCUCUGGGGGAGCCAGAUUAAAUCUAAUUCAGGUAGUCAAACACGGUACCAUUCUGUGCAAGGCCAGGUUGUCACAGCAUUUUCUUUAAAAGCCUCUUAAUCAUCUCAAUGUUUUGCAUUUUGUUGCAUUUCAGCACUAAUGCAGCAGCACAUUUG